UAGAGGGACUAUGGCCGUUUA
This 21-nucleotide non-coding RNA is filed under the name Arabidopsis thaliana (thale cress). The record is from RNAcentral. Lineage: Eukaryota; Viridiplantae; Streptophyta; Magnoliopsida; Brassicales; Brassicaceae.